ACGUAGGGUGCAAGCGUUAAUCGGAAUUACUGGGCGUAAAGCGUGCGCAGGCGGUUAUAUAAGACAGAUGUGAAAUCCCCGGGCUCAACCUGGGAACUGCAUUUGUGACUGUAUAGCUAGAGUACGGCAGAGGGGGAUGGAAUUCCGCGUGUAGCAGUGAAAUGCGUAGAUAUGCGGAGGAACACCGAUGGCGAAGGCAAUCCCCUGGGCCUGUACUGACGCUCAUGCACGAAAGCGUGGGGAGCAAACAG
RNAcentral lists this ribosomal RNA (251 nucleotides) under uncultured prokaryote. RNAcentral's name for it is "partial 16S ribosomal RNA". It matches the Rfam family "Bacterial small subunit ribosomal RNA", at positions 525 to 775 of the family's 1533-position model. The record is from RNAcentral.